UGCCAGCCGCCGCGGUAACACGGGGGGUGCAAGCGUUAUUCGGAAUUAUUGGGCGUAAAGGGCGCGCAGGCGGUCUUGUCGGUCAGAUGUGAAAGCCCGGGGCUCAACCCUGGAAGUGCAUUUGAAACAGCAAGACUUGAGUACGGGAGAGGAGAGCGGAAUUCCUGGUGUAGAGGUGAAAUUCGUAGAUAUCAGGAGGAACACCGAUGGCGAAGGCGGCUCUCUGGAUCGAUACUGACGCUGAGGCGCGAAGGCGUGGGUAGCGAACAGGAUUAGAUA
This 279-nucleotide ribosomal RNA is filed under the name uncultured bacterium. RNAcentral's name for it is "partial 16S ribosomal RNA". It matches the Rfam family "Bacterial small subunit ribosomal RNA", at positions 506 to 784 of the family's 1533-position model. The record is from RNAcentral.